UUACCCUACGGGGGGCAGCAGUGGGGAAUAUUGCACAAUGGGGGGAACCCUGAUGCAGCGACGCCGCGUGGGUGAAGGAGUAUUUCGGUAUGUAAAGCCCUAUCAGCAGGGAAGAACAAUGACGGUACCUGACUAAGAAGCACCGGCUAAAUACGUGCCAGCAGCCGCGGUAAUACGUAUGGUGCAAGCGUUAUCCGGAUUUACUGGGUGUAAAGGGAGCGCAGGCGGCGCGUUAAGCCUGGUGUGAAAGCCCGGGGCCCAACCCCGGGACUGCUCUUGGAACUGCAUGGCUGGAGUACAGGAGG
This 305-nucleotide ribosomal RNA is filed under the name uncultured bacterium. Its description in RNAcentral is "bacterial SSU rRNA". It matches the Rfam family "Bacterial small subunit ribosomal RNA", at positions 334 to 655 of the family's 1533-position model. The record is from RNAcentral.